This is a long non-coding RNA of Canis lupus familiaris (dog), 4651 nucleotides long. RefSeq lists it as uncharacterized. The record is from RefSeq and is a predicted model, not a curated record. The transcript is spliced from 7 exons. Lineage: Eukaryota; Metazoa; Chordata; Mammalia; Carnivora; Canidae.
GCCAUCCAGCUGGGAGUGGGCAAGAACUGCUGGAGGAGGAUCAGAGACCCUUGGCAGGGCUGAAGUAACUUGUCUCUGUGUUGUCAAGUGUGGAAAACCAGAGUGAAAUGUCAGAGAAUACUGUCUGGAAAAUAGUUAUAGUAGGCAAAUUUUGUGCAUUUAUAUAAAUGCAAUCAUUGCUCAGUGACAUAAAAUUAUUAAUGCAAUAGUCUUCUCUCAAGGUGCUCAUUUGUUAGUCUACAAAGUCCUAUAGGACAAACUAUUAGUGUUAGUUUAAUCUAACUAAUUGAAUGAAGAUUUCCUUCAAUUUUUGGAACCAGUGAGUUGCCCUAUCUUUAAUGAGGGCUCUGUGUUUGUGUUGGGGCACAUGUUUAAUGUUGAGCCAGGCAGUUCUGUAGCUUUCCUUAGCCUUAACUUCCUGCUUGAAAGGAGCCUCAGUUUAGCCAGAGAUGAGAACUUAGGACCUUUUCAAGUCUUUUUCAGCUUGCACACGCAGCUAUGAAUGCAUGUGGUCUGCUAGAUUUACAGCAAUAUUUUAGAGCCCUUCAAAACCAGUUAUGGAGAUCUCAUUUCUUAUUUUUCCCUUUUAAGCUGUUUGGUUAACUUACUGUUUGCUUCAAACAUUAUCUGUACUCUUUUUCCCUCCCCAGCCCCCAACCCCCUAACAGCUGUUGGUAUUAAACACUUGUGUUCAACAGAUGCCCCUGGGGAAAAGUCUGUUCAAACUAGUCAGGCUCCAAGUCAAAUCAAAGAAAGACAUACUCAUACUUUCUUUUUUUUUCAUACUCAUACUUUCAAGAGGGGUCUUCCAAGGAAACCAGAAGAUAGGUCAAAUAAUGAUAAUUUUCUGAACAUGGGACUUUGAAGGAGCUCCAACUCCAUUCUGGCCUCUUCUGUGGCUGCUAGAUUGUUGCUUUUCACCACUGGUUUUUAGGCACUGCUGAGCUGGGGAGAAGAGAUGAGACAAGAGCAAGUUAAAAUACCACAAAACUCAUUGUUCUUAUUGAGAUUCAAUCAUUUAUCCUGAAUAAAUCCUCCCUAGAUUGCUGUAAGCCUUUGGCUAAUAUGCAGUUAAUUUUGACAGUUUGCCACUGUUCUCACUGAUUCUAUGGAGAAAAUUUUUGGAAGUCCUCAUUCUCCUCAUUGAUAUCAGCUUCUGAAGUUUCUUUUCAUCUCUAGGUUCCUCCAUCAUCACAUUUUUUCUUUGAAAUAUUUUUGUUGAUGAAAUCAGAUUAUUUUCUAUCCACUUUAGAUUUUGCUGAUUGCAUCCUUGUCAUUUAACAUGUUCUUCUGUCCCUGUAUUUCCUGUGAAUCAAGAGUAAGGUGCAUGAUUACAUUUACAUUUGACUUGUUUUUGCAAGACUGUUUCAUAGGUGCUGUGUUCUUCCAUUGGGAGGGCAUGCUGGGCAGAUUUGAGGAUCCCAGCUCUACAGAUGAGGAAGAUGAGAGGCACACAUGGCUCUGAAGAUUCGGACCAUGUUAGUUGUGAAUCCUGGGUGUCCUUGAGAAAGUGAAGAUGAUAAUAAUACCUGCCUCACUGAGAGAAGGUGCAUGUGAAGCACUUAGCAGGGUGCCUGGCACAUAGUAGAUGCUCAAUAAACUGUGUGGAGUGGGAAGAAAAAGAAAAGACAUAUUCAGUAUCUGCAUCCCUUUACCUCGCUGAAUUCCUGCAAUGGCCCACAAAGGUACAUGAAGAGGGGAAAAAACCCAACUUUGGCUUCUCCAGGUGGGUUCAAUUUGGAUAAUAUAUUUGCACAGAAGUGUAGACGGGAGCCUCCUCUGGGAGGCUGGCCAUUUUCACUGUGGAUUCCCAGGUAAUCCCCCCAGAGCAGGAUCUGGAUCAGUUGUCCUACUAAGUAUAAGGCACAUUGCCAAGGCAUGGCCUGGUCCCUUAGGCUGAGAGACAGAGAGUAGGGCCAGUUCAUGGCAGAAAGGGUCUGGCAUAUGUCCUGCCUUUUUUUGCUCUGUGGCCUUGGGCAGGUCUCUUUGCCUCUGUAGGCCUCACUGCCCUCACUUCUAGAGUAGGAGUGAUCAUUUUGCCUCUUGGCUGGUUGCAAGGCCCAGAAGCAGGUUGAGAAUGGUAGCGUGCUAUGCGAAUGUGAAGUGUCAGUUGCAGACUAUCUUGCUGGCCUCUUGAGAAGACUUGACAUAAGCAGGUGAGAAGUGCAGUGGGAAAAGUGAGAGCCCUCUGAUGCUCAAGGAGAACAGUGCUCCAGGGGCCCCUAGGGAGAAUAGUUAAGCAGCAGGAUGGAGAGAUUGAGAGGAGGUUGGAGGGCUGGGUGAGGCCUGAGGACUGAAGCCUCCGGGGGGCCAGAGGAAGGCAGCUGAGACUUUCAGGGACACAAAGGACUUUCUCCAUUUCUCCACCACACAGGGACCUGUCUCCCUGGGGCUGCUUUGCUUGAUUUGGUGUGCUGUUAACCUUUGCUCAGCCCCAGGCUGUGUUUAACUUGGGGCCAUGGGCAGGGGGAGAAGGUCACAACAAAUUUAGUGGGAGGCAUUUUAAGUACCUAAAGCAAUAAAUCCUCAUGUACCUCGAGCCUGCCCAGGCUUCCCCAAACCUGGGAAUUCAAUUUUGUGCAGCGCACACAGUUUGCCAAGCACGCUAAGUCAUCAGGAGAACAACUUGAUGUAUUGCUGUGGGGAAAAAAAUUGCCGUGUCCCUUUCUUCAUUCAAAUUAACACCUUUUCAUACUGGGCUGACAGGUGACUGAUCACCUGAGAAUACAUCCUGGCUUCAAGUGAUUUGAUAACUCUUCCUUCUCUGUUUCCCUGUCUUUAUUUUCAUGCCUUAAAAAGUCAGGAGAAAACAUUAUUAUUAUUAUUGCUAGAGAAUCACUACCUGAUUCAUAAGCCCUAAGCCCUGGGGCCUGGCAUAUGGUAGGCAUGAAUAAAUGAUGAACGAAUAAAUGACUAGAUUUGGUUGAUGUCUGCAGAUUGCCCUUUUUCCUUCCCAGAGGAUCAGAGGAAGCUUUUGCUUUGUUUUGUUUUUUUGACAUUUUUUUUUUUCUUUGCAUGGUGGACACUGUGUGAGGUCAAUGUGUGCACUGCUCAGAUGCCCGUCUGAGGAGGUAGAGGACUUGGCCCAGCUGCUGGGAGUGCUGGUGGCCCCUGGAGUGACUGAGUUGUAGAGAGUCGUCUUGCCCAAGAUGUUGACCCCAGGAGCACCCCUCAAACAACAUCCAGCACUCUAGAUUCCAUUUUGGAGUCUGCUUCCCAUGGAGAUGGACCUGCCACAUUUUGUUCUGUUUUUGGAUAGAUUCCACUCUGACCUUCCUCCUCACUGCCUCAUACAUCAAAGAGGAAGAUGGAGCGGAGUCAGUUACUGUGAGGAAAUCCAGACUGCAGGAGAAACGGGUGGCAACUGUCUGCGAAAUUGAGCACUUUCUGUCAAAACUUAAUUAAAUUAGCCUCGAUUCUAUAAAUAAUAGAGCAAGUUUCCCUCCCCCAUCCCUCCAGACCCCCUUGAUGUCUCCCUCUAUCUCCUGAGAGAUAGAUCUCUUCUGAGUGUGGUGCAAUAGGAGGCAGUUUGUAAAAAUUAGGCAAUGAUAAUUCAGACUUUGCAUUAAUUUACAGAAGCAGAAUAUGCUUCGGGUUAGAAGGGGUAGCAACCUGCAAGAUGUGUGACAUGCUCAGUGAAGUCUAAAGGAGAAGACAACCAGAGGAGAUGUGGGGGGCUGGGAAACUUGCCUCCAUGCUUCUAAGUAGCCAGCUCUAUGAUAUUGGUUGGAUCUCUUUCCUUUUGGCUCCUCAGUUUCUCUAUCCAGGUCACACUGAAGGCUUUGUAUCAGCCAGAUUUAUUUCUCAUCCGUGCCACAUGUUCACUGUAGGUCAGCAAGGGCUUGUUUCCAUGUCUCCUUGUCCUGGGACUCAGAUGGAGCAGCUAGUUUCUGUUGCUGCAGAUUGUUGUGAUGGAAGUGACAGAGGGGAGCACUGGGGGGAGGAGGGGCUGUCUCUCACUGGCAGUCCUGUGGCCGAGAAGUGACAGGUGUCAUGUGCUCUCACAAUUCAUUGGAUGGAACACAUCCUUUGGCCCUACACAAACAUAGGGGACCAGAUAGUGCAGUCAGUGGUAUUGUGCACCUGGCAUUUGGUGAACAGCAUUGAUGAAUGUCCUGGCCUCUUCCAACACUAAAGUUUUAGAAUUCUUUAGCUUUCAUCAAACUAUGAUUUUUUUAAAUUUCUACAUUUCAACUUUAAGAUUCUUGUCUACUCACCUUCAUCCACCAAGUGCUGAUUGAUCAUGCCCUAAUUUCCUCAGGAAUAGGUCUACUAUCCCUAACUAAUCUUAUUGUCCAUCAAUAGAUGAAUGAAUAAAGAUGUAGGACACACACACACAAAGGAAUAUUACUCAGCCAUAAAAAAUGAAACUUGCCAUUUGCAACAAUACAAAUGGAUCUAGAAGAUAUAAUGCUAAGUGAAAUAAAUCAGAGAAACACUAAUACUGUAUGAUUUAACUCAUUUGUGUAAUUAAAGAUACACCUGCUCCCAAACACCAGGCUCUUAUCUAUAGAGAAAAAACUAAUGGUUACCAGAAGGGAGGGGGAAGAUGGGUUAAAUGUAUUAUGGGAAUUAAGAGUACACUUAACAUGAUGAGCACUGACUAAUGUAAAGAAUUGUUGAAUCACUGUUGUAUACCAGAAAUUAAUAU